UGCGUAGGCGGUUCGUUGUGUCCGCUGUGAAAGCCCCGGGCUUAACCUGGGAACUGCAGUGGAAACUAGCGGACUCAGAAUCUGGCAGAGGGGGGUGGAAUGCCACGUGUAGCAGUGAAAUGCGUAGAGAUGUGACGGAACACCGAUGGCGAAGGCAGCCCCCUGGGCUGAGAUUGACGCUCAGGCACGAAAGCGUGGGGAGCAAACA
Molecule: ribosomal RNA, 208 nt
Filed under: uncultured bacterium
Lineage: Bacteria
Description: partial 16S ribosomal RNA
Rfam family: Bacterial small subunit ribosomal RNA
Source: RNAcentral